Molecule: ribosomal RNA, 501 nt
Filed under: Lactobacillus crispatus
Lineage: Bacteria; Bacillati; Bacillota; Bacilli; Lactobacillales; Lactobacillaceae
Description: partial 23S ribosomal RNA
Rfam family: Bacterial large subunit ribosomal RNA
Source: RNAcentral
AGUACCGAAACUGUGGAUGUGUUUUAAAGAGCACGUGGUAGGAGAGCGUUCUAAGAGCGGAGAAGUUGAAUCGAGAGGAUCAAUGGAGCGCUUAGAAGUGAGAAUGCCGGUAUGAGUAGCGAAAGAUAGGUGAGAAUCCUAUCCGCCGAAAGACUAAGGUUUCCUGGGGCAGGCUCGUCCGCCCAGGGUAAGUCGGGACCUAAGGCAAGGCCGAGAGGCGUAGUCGAUGGAUAACAGGUAGAGAUUCCUGUACUGUGUUCAAUCGUUAUGAGCGAUGGAGGGACGCAGGAGGUGAAGCACGCAUCGAGCUGGAUCGAUGUUCAAGCGACAAGUGCGGUUAAGAGUCAAAUGCUUCUAACCAGCAACACGAGUCGUGAUGAGGAGUGAAUUAAAAGUAGCGAAGGUGUGGUAAUCACACUGCCAAGAAAAGCUUCUAGCCAGAGAUGACAUACCCGUACCGCAAACCGACACAGGUAGUCGAGUGGAGAACACUAAGGUGAG